Non-coding RNA from Sciurus carolinensis (gray squirrel), 72 nucleotides. The record is from the annotation of a RefSeq genome assembly. NCBI's taxonomy places the organism in Eukaryota, Metazoa, Chordata, Mammalia, Rodentia, Sciuridae.
UGGGAUGUAGCUCAGUGGUAGAGUGCUUGCCUGGUGGGCAUGAGGGCCUGGGUUCAAUCCCCAGUACCACAA